RNAcentral lists this ribosomal RNA (253 nucleotides) under uncultured bacterium. Its description in RNAcentral is "partial 16S ribosomal RNA". It matches the Rfam family "Bacterial small subunit ribosomal RNA", at positions 524 to 776 of the family's 1533-position model. The record is from RNAcentral.
UACGUAGGGCGCAAGCGUUGUCCGGAAUUAUUGGGCGUAAAGAGCUCGUAGGCGGCUUGUCACGUCGGGUGUGAAAGCCCGGGGCUUAACCCCGGGUCUGCAUUCGAUACUGGCUGGCUAGAGUGUGGUAGGGGAGAUCGGAAUUCCUGGUGUAGCGGUGAAAUGCGCAGAUAUCAGGAGGAACACCGGUGGCGAAGGCGGAUCUCUGGGCCAUUACUGACGCUGAGGAGCGAAAGCGUGGGGAGCGAACAGG